CCUACGGGAGGCAGCAGUGGGGGAUAUUGCACAAUGGGGGAAACCCUGAUGCAGCGACGCCGCGUGUAGGAAGACGGUCCUCUGGAUUGUAAACUACUGUCCCCAGGGACGAAGAUGACGGUACCUGGGGAGGAAGCUCCGGCUAACUACGUGCCAGCAGCCGCGGUAAUACGUAGGGAGCGAGCGUUGUCCGGAAUUACUGGGUGUAAAGGGAGCGUAGGCGGGGAUGCAAGUUGGGUGUUAAAUCUACCGGCUCAACUGGUAGUCGCACUCAAAACUGCAGCUCUUGAGUGAAGUAGAGGCAGGCGGAAUUCCUAGUGUAGCGGUGAAAUGCGUAGAUAUUAGGAGGAACACCAGUGGCGAAGGCGGCCUGCUGGGCUUUUACUGACGCUGAGGCUCGAAAGUGUGGGGAGCAAGCAGGAUUAGAUACCCCAGUAGUC
This 440-nucleotide ribosomal RNA is filed under the name uncultured bacterium. RNAcentral's name for it is "partial 16S ribosomal RNA". It matches the Rfam family "Bacterial small subunit ribosomal RNA", at positions 338 to 795 of the family's 1533-position model. The record is from RNAcentral.